RNAcentral lists this ribosomal RNA (756 nucleotides) under uncultured bacterium. RNAcentral's name for it is "bacterial SSU rRNA". It matches the Rfam family "Bacterial small subunit ribosomal RNA", at positions 8 to 796 of the family's 1533-position model. The record is from RNAcentral.
AGAGUUUGAUCAUGGCUCAGAAUCAACGCUGGCGGCGUGCCUAACACAUGCAAGUCGAACGAGAAAGUGGAGCAAUCCAUGAGUAAAGUGGCGCACGGGUGAGUAACACGUGACUAACCUACCCUUGAGUGGGGGAUAACUGAGGGAAACCUUAGCUAAUACCGCAUAACACCUACGGGUCAAAGGAGCAAUUCGCUCGAGGAGGGGGUCGCGGCCGAUUAGUUAGUUGGCGGGGUAACGGCCCACCAAGACGAUGAUCGGUAUCCGGCCUGAGAGGGCGCACGGACACACUGGAACUGAAACACGGUCCAGACUCCUACGGGAGGCAGCAGUGGGGAAUUUUGCGCAAUGGGGGAAACCCUGACGCAGCAACGCCGCGUGGAGGAUGAAGUCCUUCGGGACGUAAACUCCUUUCGAUCGGGACGAUUAUGACGGUACCGGAAGAAGAAGCCCCGGCUAACUUCGUGCCAGCAGCCGCGGUAAUACGAGGGGGGCGAGCGUUGUUCGGAAUUAUUGGGCGUAAAGGGUGCGUAGGCGGUUUGGUAAGUCUUAUGUGAAAUCUAUGGGCUUAACUCAUAGACUGCAUGAGAAACUGCCGGGCUCGAGUGUGGGAGAGGUGAGUGGAAUUUCCGGUGUAGCGGUGAAAUGCGUAGAUAUCGGAAGGAACACCUGUGGCGAAAGCGGCUCACUGGACCACAACUGACGCUGAUGCACGAAAGCUAGGGGAGCAAACAGGAUUAGAUACCCCGGUAGUCC